UGGGCAAGUUUAAAAAGCUCGUAGUUGAACUUCAGGCCUGGCCGGGCGGUCUGCCUAACGGUAUGUACUGUCUGGCCGGGUCUUACCUCUUGGUGAACCGGCGUGCUCUUUACUGGGCGCGUCGGCGAACCAGGACUUUUACCUUGAGAAAAUUAGAGUGUUCAAAGCAGGCUUACGCCCGAAUACAUUAGCAUGGAAUAAUAAAAUAGGACGUGCGGUCCUAUUUUGUUGGUUUCUAGGAUUCGCCCGUAAUGAUUAAUAGGGAUAGUUGGGGGCAUUGGUAUUGAGUCGCUAGAGGUGAAAUUCUUGGAUUGACUCAAGACCGACUACUGCGAAAGCAUUUGCCAAGGAUGUUUUCAUUAAUCAAGAACGAAGGUUAGGGGAUCGAAAACGAUCAGAUACCGUUGUAGUCUUAACAGUAAACUAUGCCGACUAGGGAUCGGACGACCUCAAUUAUUAUGUGUCGUUCGGCACCUUACGAGAAAUCAAAGUCUUUGGGUUCUGGGGGGAGUAUGGUCGCAAGGCUGAAACUUAAAGGAAUUGACGGAAGGGCACCACCAGGUGUAAACAAUCACAAUUGUUUUGCCGCAGUGACUCUGCACCUAAAAGCAGCCCGAAAGGGUGAAGGUGGUCUGUCCUGAAGGAUUCUUCUACUGAAGAGUACCUUCAAAUAUUGCUAGUCUGCCGAAAGGCGGGCAAGACCCUCAAAUUGCGGGGAACCCCUUAGAGCCUUUGCUACCGCCUCUGCAUGGAAACAAUAGCAGUGAGCACCAGGGUAAUGACCUCGGGUAUGGUAAAAACGCAAGGAUUGGGCAAUCCGCAGCCAAGCACCUAAGUACCGCCAAGGAAAAGAACGGUGAAGUUCAGAGACUAGAUGGGGGGUCGGUUGGCUUACAUUUCAUAGCUAGCUUAAGGUAUAGUCCGUCCCCUUGCGAAGCAUUGGGGGAAGGUGCCUAAAAGGAGCCUGCGGCUUAAUUUGACUCACACACGGGGGAGAACUCACCACGUGCGGACAUAACUAGAUUGACCGAUGAUAGCUCUCCAUCGAUUAAUAGUCUGUCCAUGCGCUCUUAUUGUGGAGGAAUUGUCUGGUUAAUCGAACGACAGACCUAACUGCAAUACCAGCGCUGCGCCUAGCUCAGCUAGCUCUGACUGCGAUCAUGACUAGCUGUAACAGA
RNAcentral lists this ribosomal RNA (1178 nucleotides) under Schizophyllum commune. Its description in RNAcentral is "bacterial SSU rRNA". The stretch from base 1 to 577 matches the Rfam family "Eukaryotic small subunit ribosomal RNA", at positions 606 to 1831 of the family's 1831-position model. The record is from RNAcentral. Lineage: Eukaryota; Fungi; Basidiomycota; Agaricomycetes; Agaricales; Schizophyllaceae.